UACGGAGGGUGCAAGCGUUGUCCGGAUUUAUUGGGUUUAAAGGGUGCGUAGGCGGCUUCAUAAGUCCGUGGUGAAAGCCAACAGCUCAACUGUUGAACUGCCAUGGAUACUGUGAGGCUUGAGUACAGACGAGGUAGGCGGAAUGGAUCGUGUAGCGGUGAAAUGCAUAGAUACGACCCAGAACACCGAUUGCGUAGGCAGCUUACUAGGCUGUAACUGACGCUGAGGCACGAAAGCGUGGGGAGCGAACAGG
Molecule: ribosomal RNA, 253 nt
Filed under: uncultured bacterium
Lineage: Bacteria
Description: partial 16S ribosomal RNA
Rfam family: Bacterial small subunit ribosomal RNA
Source: RNAcentral